UUCCUAGGAUGGGAAUCGAACCCACAAUGUUCCGCUUACCGGGCAGAUGCCAUGUCCACUAGGCUACCCUGGA
Cordylochernes scorpioides is the source of this 73-nucleotide non-coding RNA. The record is from the annotation of a GenBank genome assembly. Lineage: Eukaryota; Metazoa; Arthropoda; Arachnida; Pseudoscorpiones; Chernetidae.